ACUAGGAGCAAAAAAGACCAAAAACCUAAACACCAAGAAGAAAGAAGAAACAACAUUGGAAGAUCAGAAGACAUAACAUUAACAUUUAAACACAAGCACAAAAGAUACUACAGCAUUGCCGAAUGGGUUCAGAGCUUUUGAUAAAAUAUGAGACCACGCUCGGUAGAAAUCGGCUUGCCCAUAACGCUACUCCAAAAGAUUGACACCGACCACACACAGCUUUGCAUAGACCGGCUGAAGGAAUCAAGCCGCCAACUACCACUGGUAAAGGAGCUUGAGACCCGAGCUAAGAACCUCUACUUGUAUCAAGCACACUAGAGCGCCAAUCUGGCUUGACGUUCCAGGACCACCAAAGUCACACUUAUGCUUGGCUCCAGAACAUAGUGCGAGCAGAUGCAAGAAGACAGGGAGCGAUGAUAGUCACAUCCUGAGCCGCUCGCCCAAACCUACAAUAUAGAGAUCGAUCAGCCCUCCAUUGGUGACCAAGCGACCAGACAAUGGAGCUGUGAUGGCCAAUCAGCACAUGAGUCUCCUUCAAGAAAAUAGAGCUUCGAGACUCAAAUGCCCUGCAAGGUAACUAAGAUUCUCUCUGUUUCCUAAAUAUUUGGAAUUAUGAGGUUUUAUACAUAUUGAGUUUAUGGUGCAUUGUUUCUUGUAAUAUACUCUUUAUCUUCAUUCAACAUGCUGUGGUUUCCUUAAGAAAGACACUCGACCUCAUAAUUAACUGAUUCCACUGUGCAUUUGACAGGCUAUCGAAUGGAUGAAGAGGAUCCUGAUUCCAAGAGUUUGCAAAUCCAGUUUUCCAGAAGCCCAGGUCUAAGACCAGGGGCAACGUGAAGAAAGGAGGUGAUGAGUUGAGAUACUUUUGAGGCAAAUCAACCAAAAUAGUAACUUAUUGUUUUCUCUAGAGCCUAAUAUUCAGAUCCUUAGUAGCACUCACUCAAAGCUAUAGAGAUGUAUGAAUAGACACAAAAGUCCAGGAGUUGAGUUUAUUGGAAUCUAAACUUAGACACUGU
Molecule: long non-coding RNA, 1016 nt
Organism: Brassica oleracea var. oleracea
Lineage: Eukaryota; Viridiplantae; Streptophyta; Magnoliopsida; Brassicales; Brassicaceae
Exons: 2
Source: RefSeq, a predicted model, not a curated record